This 75-nucleotide transfer RNA is filed under the name Alkalicoccus urumqiensis. Its description in RNAcentral is "Bacillus urumqiensis tRNA-Arg". It matches the Rfam family "tRNA". From Rfam's summary of the family: Transfer RNA (tRNA) molecules are approximately 80 nucleotides in length. Lineage: Bacteria; Bacillati; Bacillota; Bacilli; Caryophanales; Bacillaceae. The record is from RNAcentral.
GCGCCCGUGGUGAAAUGGAUAUCACUCGAGAUUCCGGGUCUCGCAUUCCGGGUUCGAAUCCUGGCGGGCGCGCCA